UGAGCAAUCUGCCCUUCUCUUCGGAAUAAGCGUUGGAAACGACGUCUAAUGCCGAAUACGACCUCCUUUCGCAUGAUCGGAGGUGGAAAGCUUCGGCGGAGAAGGAUGAGCUCGCGGCCUAUCAGCUAGUUGGUGUGGGUAAUGGCCCACCAAGGCGACGACGGGUAGCCGGCCUGAGAGGGUGACCGGCCACACGUGGGACUGAGACACGGCCCAGACCUCCGUACGGGGAGG
Molecule: ribosomal RNA, 234 nt
Filed under: uncultured bacterium
Lineage: Bacteria
Description: partial 16S ribosomal RNA
Rfam family: Bacterial small subunit ribosomal RNA
Source: RNAcentral